GACGAACGCUGGCGGCGUGCUUAACACAUGCAAGUCGAACGAAGAGCGAUGGAAGCUUGCUUCUAUCAAUCUUAGUGGCGAACGGGUGAGUAACGCGUAAUCAACCUGCCCUUCAGAGGGGGACAACAGUUGGAAACGACUGCUAAUACCGCAUACGAUCUAAACUCGGCAUCGAGGAUAGAUGAAAGGUGGCCUCUACAUGUAAGCUAUCACUGAAGGAGGGGAUUGCGUCUGAUUAGCUAGUUGGAGGGGUAACGGCCCACCAAGGCGAUGAUCAGUAGCCGGUCUGAGAGGAUGAACGGCCACAUUGGGACUGAGACACGGCCCAGACUCCUACGGGAGGCAGCAGUGGGGAAUCUUCCGCAAUGGACGAAAGUCUGACGGAGCAACGCCGCGUGAGUGAUGACGGCCUUCGGGUUGUAAAGCUCUGUUAAUCGGGACGAAAGGCCUUCUUGCG
Molecule: ribosomal RNA, 457 nt
Filed under: Veillonella parvula
Lineage: Bacteria; Bacillati; Bacillota; Negativicutes; Veillonellales; Veillonellaceae
Description: bacterial SSU rRNA
Rfam family: Bacterial small subunit ribosomal RNA
Source: RNAcentral